GAUGAACGCUGGCGGCGUGCUUAACACAUGCCAGUCGAACGAAGCACUUUAUUUGAUUUCCUUCGGGACUGAUUAUUUUGUGACUGAGUGGCGGACGGGUGAGUAACGCGUGGGUAACCUGCCUUGUACAGGGGGAUAACAGUUGGAAACGGCUGCUAAUACCGCAUAAGCGCACGGCAUCGCAUGAUGCAGUGUGAAAAACUCCGGUGGUAUAAGAUGGACCCGCGUUGGAUUAGCUAGUUGGUGAGGUAACGGCCCACCAAGGCGACGAUCCAUAGCCGACCUGGGAGGGUGCCCGGCCACAUUGGGACUGCGACACGGCCCAAACUCCUACGGGAGGCAGCAGUGGGGAAUAUUGCACAAUGGGCGAAAGCCUGAUGCAGCGACGCCGCGUGAGCGAAGAAGUAUUUCGGUAUGUAAAGCUCUAUCAGCAGGGAAGAUAAUGACGGUACCUGACUAAGAAGCACCGGCUAAAUACGUG
RNAcentral lists this ribosomal RNA (481 nucleotides) under uncultured bacterium. RNAcentral's name for it is "partial 16S ribosomal RNA". It matches the Rfam family "Bacterial small subunit ribosomal RNA", at positions 28 to 507 of the family's 1533-position model. The record is from RNAcentral.